CCAUACUACGCUGAAUACAUCGGUUCUCGUCCGAUCACCGAAAUUAAGCAGCGUCGGGCGCGGUUAGUACUUAGAUGGGGGACCGCUUGGGAACACCGCGUGU
RNAcentral lists this ribosomal RNA (103 nucleotides) under Drosophila persimilis. Lineage: Eukaryota; Metazoa; Arthropoda; Insecta; Diptera; Drosophilidae. The record is from RNAcentral.